This 170-nucleotide small nuclear RNA is filed under the name Olea europaea subsp. europaea. RNAcentral describes it as "U2 spliceosomal RNA". It matches the Rfam family "U2 spliceosomal RNA". Rfam says of the family: U2 is a small nuclear RNA (snRNA) component of the spliceosome (involved in pre-mRNA splicing). Complementary binding between U2 snRNA (in an area lying towards the 5' end but 3' to hairpin I) and the branchpoint sequence (BPS) of the intron results the bulging out of an unpaired adenosine, on the BPS, which initiates a nucleophilic attack at the intronic 5' splice site, thus starting the first of two transesterification reactions that mediate splicing. Lineage: Eukaryota; Viridiplantae; Streptophyta; Magnoliopsida; Lamiales; Oleaceae. The record is from Rfam by way of RNAcentral.
UACGUUUCUUGGCCUUUUGACUAAGAUCAAGUGUAAUAUUUUUUUCUGAUCAAUUUAAUAUUUGAUAGAUAUUAACUUUGUUUAUUUAAGAAAGUCCCAAUUGAUUGCUUGCUACUCUGGCGUUUAAGCGUUCGUGCAUUAAACCACUGUAUUGGCCUGAAGCACUUCAA